This is a long non-coding RNA of Acromyrmex echinatior (Panamanian leafcutter ant), 304 nucleotides long. RefSeq lists it as uncharacterized. The record is from RefSeq and is a predicted model, not a curated record. Lineage: Eukaryota; Metazoa; Arthropoda; Insecta; Hymenoptera; Formicidae.
GCGGCAAGUUCGCAGCCGUCAGUCUUUCUCGAAACGGUCGACGCGCUCUCGCGCAUGUAACCGAUAAGAAUAGACUAACACACGUUUGCAAAGUCACCGAGGAAAGAUGCCGGGAUUUCCACCCGAAAGACGUGAUGUUGCAGAUCGUUCCUACAAUAAGAAUACGCCACUGACAUACGGCGACACCCUUAUGUGUCUUACGAUUCUCACCUUAGGUUCCACACAUAGCAUGUUUCCUGCUUGAGUUCCACAACAGUUUGACAUGAUAACACAGGAUAACACGACGGUUUAUCGUCAUGGCAAC